UACGGAAGGUGCGAGCGUUGUUCGGAUUGACUGGGCGUAAAGAGCACGUAGGCGGAUCUGUAAGUCGACUGUGAAAGCCCCGGGCUUAACCUGGGAAUUGCAGCCGAAACUACAGGUCUUGAAUGCCCGAGAGGUUGGUGGAAUUCCAGGUGUAGAAGUGAAAUUCGUAGAUAUCUGGAGGAACAUCAGAGGCGAAGGCGGCCAACUGGUGGCGCAUUGACGCUGAGGUGCGAAAGCGCGGGGAGCAAACAGG
RNAcentral lists this unclassified non-coding RNA (253 nucleotides) under uncultured Oligoflexaceae bacterium. RNAcentral describes it as "contains 16S-23S intergenic spacer region". It matches the Rfam family "Bacterial small subunit ribosomal RNA", at positions 524 to 776 of the family's 1533-position model. The record is from RNAcentral. Lineage: Bacteria; Pseudomonadati; Bdellovibrionota; Oligoflexia; Oligoflexales; Oligoflexaceae.